This 170-nucleotide unclassified non-coding RNA is filed under the name uncultured fungus. RNAcentral's name for it is "sequence contains ITS1". The record is from RNAcentral. Lineage: Eukaryota; Fungi.
UUAACUAUUUUGUCUUUUCUUCAGAAGGCAGGAUAGAAGAGUUUUGGUCUUUCGGCAGGCAUGAUACAGCCCGCCCUGGGCCCGCCUGCCGAAGCAACGUGUACAAGAUUCACAAGGGUUUGGAGUUCUGUAACUCGGUAAUGAUCCCUCCGCUGGUUCACCAACGGAGA